Molecule: ribosomal RNA, 219 nt
Filed under: Triticum aestivum (bread wheat)
Lineage: Eukaryota; Viridiplantae; Streptophyta; Magnoliopsida; Poales; Poaceae
Description: partial small subunit ribosomal RNA
Source: RNAcentral
AUGACGGUACUGCGGCUCCCAAAAAAGCUUCUGAAGGAUAUUGACAAGGCCAGGCGGCGAUUUCUAUGGGCGCAAGAUGAAUAUUUGUCAGGCGGGAAGUGCAAAGUUAACUGGAAAACGGUAUGCUCCCCAAUCCAAAAGGGCGGCCUUGGCAUUCAGGAUCUUCAACUUUUCGGCAGCGCUCUUCGUCUUCAGUGGCUUUGGUUGGAAUGGGUCUAG